Centropristis striata (black sea bass) is the source of this 477-nucleotide long non-coding RNA. RefSeq lists it as uncharacterized. The transcript has 3 exons. The record is from RefSeq and is a predicted model, not a curated record. NCBI's taxonomy places the organism in Eukaryota, Metazoa, Chordata, Actinopteri, Perciformes, Serranidae.
AAUGUGUUACCUGCCUAUUUUGAACCUCUAAUCAAUAUUUUGGACUUUGGAAUUCACAGCUGCUCCCUUUGGAUUGUACUCUUGUUUUGACUCAGUUUUCACCUGCCUCAUAAUUCCUGUACCUGCCUGUCUAGUGGAGAAUUUACUGAUUGCUUGCAGGGACUGGCCACUGAUUUCAGGAGGGGAUAACGCUGUAACAUCAGGCCAGACAACAUGAUGCUGACAUUGGAAGUUAAAAGAGACAUCAAAUGCCUUGUGACCUCCAAAACCAGUGUUUCAAUGGCUCUAUGGAUGAAUUUCUUAUUCUUUUGUCCAUUCACUGUGUGUGUGUGUUGUAAAAGAAUAUUAGUAUUUCAUGCUCCCACAUGCAUAUAUGUAUUGUAUACAUUUAGUCUGGAUUAAAUGAAAAACAUCCUUGUAUUUGAAACGUAGACGAGCUCUGAGCCGGACUACUAUGUUUUUCAAUCUCCAUAUAAG